RNAcentral lists this ribosomal RNA (1503 nucleotides) under uncultured bacterium. RNAcentral's name for it is "bacterial SSU rRNA". It matches the Rfam family "Bacterial small subunit ribosomal RNA". The record is from RNAcentral.
GAGAGUUUGAUCCUGGCUCAGAUUGAACGCUGGCGGCAGGCCUAACACAUGCAAGUCGAGCGGUAGCACAGAGAGCUUGCUCUCGGGUGACGAGCGGCGGACGGGUGAGUAAUGUCUGGGAAACUGCCUGAUGGAGGGGGAUAACUACUGGAAACGGUAGCUAAUACCGCAUAACGUCGCAAGACCAAAGUGGGGGACCUUCGGGCCUCAUGCCAUCAGAUGUGCCCAGAUGGGAUUAGCUAGUAGGUGGGGUAAUGGCUCACCUAGGCGACGAUCCCUAGCUGGUCUGAGAGGAUGACCAGCCACACUGGAACUGAGACACGGUCCAGACUCCUACGGGAGGCAGCAGUGGGGAAUAUUGCACAAUGGGCGCAAGCCUGAUGCAGCCAUGCCGCGUGUAUGAAGAAGGCCUUCGGGUUGUAAAGUACUUUCAGCGAGGAGGAAGGCGUUAAGGUUAAUAACCUUGGCGAUUGACGUUACUCGCAGAAGAAGCACCGGCUAACUCCGUGCCAGCAGCCGCGGUAAUACGGAGGGUGCAAGCGUUAAUCGGAAUUACUGGGCGUAAAGCGCACGCAGGCGGUCUGUCAAGUCGGAUGUGAAAUCCCCGGGCUCAACCUGGGAACUGCAUUCGAAACUGGCAGGCUAGAGUCUUGUAGAGGGGGGUAGAAUUCCAGGUGUAGCGGUGAAAUGCGUAGAGAUCUGGAGGAAUACCGGUGGCGAAGGCGGCCCCCUGGACAAAGACUGACGCUCAGGUGCGAAAGCGUGGGGAGCAAACAGGAUUAGAUACCCUGGUAGUCCACGCCGUAAACGAUGUCGACUUGGAGGUUGUGCCCUUGAGGCGUGGCUUCCGGAGCUAACGCGUUAAGUUGACCGCCUGGGGAGUACGGCCGCAAGGUUAAAACUCAAAUGAAUUGACGGGGGCCCGCACAAGCGGUGGAGCAUGUGGUUUAAUUCGAUGCAACGCGAAGAACCUUACCUACUCUUGACAUCCAGAGAACUUAGCAGAGAUGCUUUGGUGCCUUCGGGAACUCUGAGACAGGUGCUGCAUGGCUGUCGUCAGCUCGUGUUGUGAAAUGUUGGGUUAAGUCCCGCAACGAGCGCAACCCUUAUCCUUUGUUGCCAGCGAUUCGGUCGGGAACUCAAAGGAGACUGCCAGUGAUAAACUGGAGGAAGGUGGGGAUGACGUCAAGUCAUCAUGGCCCUUACGAGUAGGGCUACACACGUGCUACAAUGGCAUAUACAAAGAGAAGCGACCUCGCGAGAGCAAGCGGACCUCAUAAAGUAUGUCGUAGUCCGGAUUGGAGUCUGCAACUCGACUCCAUGAAGUCGGAAUCGCUAGUAAUCGUAGAUCAGAAUGCUACGGUGAAUACGUUCCCGGGCCUUGUACACACCGCCCGUCACACCAUGGGAGUGGGUUGCAAAAGAAGUAGGUAGCUUAACCUUCGGGAGGGCGCUUACCACUUUGUGAUUCAUGACUGGGGUGAGGUCGUAACAAGGUAGCCG